UACGUAGGGUGCAAGCGUUGUCCGGAAUUAUUGGGCGUAAAGAGCUCGUAGGCGGUUUGUCGCGUCUGCUGUGAAAAUCCAGGGCUUAACCCUGGACCUGCAGUGGGUACGGGCAGACUGGAGUGCGGUAGGGGAGAUCGGAAUUCCUGGUGUAGCGGUGAAAUGCGCAGAUAUCAGGAGGAACACCGGUGGCGAAGGCGGAUCUCUGGGCCGUAACUGACGCUGAGGAGCGAAAGCGUGGGGAGCGAACAGG
Molecule: ribosomal RNA, 253 nt
Filed under: uncultured bacterium
Lineage: Bacteria
Description: partial 16S ribosomal RNA
Rfam family: Bacterial small subunit ribosomal RNA
Source: RNAcentral